CGGCAACAGCUCAAAUUUGAAAUCUGGCCUUCGGGUCCGAAUUGUAAUUUGUAGAGGAUGCUUCGGGUGUGGUGCCGGUCUAAGUUCCUUGGAACAGGACGUCAUAGAGGGUGAGAAUCCCGUAUGUGACUGGUUGCCUUCGCUCAUGUGAAGCUCUUUC
This 160-nucleotide ribosomal RNA is filed under the name Helicocentralis sp. Its description in RNAcentral is "partial large subunit ribosomal RNA". It matches the Rfam family "Eukaryotic large subunit ribosomal RNA", at positions 99 to 258 of the family's 3401-position model. Lineage: Eukaryota; Fungi; Ascomycota; Leotiomycetes. The record is from RNAcentral.